Long non-coding RNA from Gallus gallus (chicken), 467 nucleotides. Lineage: Eukaryota; Metazoa; Chordata; Aves; Galliformes; Phasianidae. The record is from Ensembl.
GAAAUUUCAAACCGAGGCGCUGGGUGCCCGAGCUUGGAGCAAUUAAAGGUAACAUUUUCCCAAGCAGAGCGAAGCAGCCGAGCGCAUCCCGGCACCACGGAGAUGCGGGGGAGACUAAAGAGGAAAUCAAAACAACAACAAUAAAUAAACUUUUCUUAAGGCUUAAAGAAAAAUGAGACAGCGGAUGGGCUGAGCUGCCCCCCCACCCCCAUCCCCCACCUCCUCCUGUCCUGCCGGGACCUGCAGGGUGCCCGUUCAGCUCUGAGGCUCUGCAUGCUGGUUGCCAUGGGGUCCCAUUGCCAAAGGCAGAUCCCAUCCCCAGAUGGGACAUAUUUAAUAUGCAAAUUGACACAGCUCUGGCCGGCCGCCAGCGCCGGGUGUCGGUGGUGCCUCGUGUGCACCCAAAGGGACAGCUGCUUCCUGCCUCUGCCACCCGAACCCAGCGGCCAGCGAGCAAAGCAUUGGCG